This 532-nucleotide ribosomal RNA is filed under the name Monothela sp. n. BFS-2018. Its description in RNAcentral is "partial 16S large subunit ribosomal RNA". The stretch from base 392 to 532 matches the Rfam family "Archaeal large subunit ribosomal RNA", at positions 2544 to 2684 of the family's 2987-position model. Lineage: Eukaryota; Metazoa; Arthropoda; Insecta; Hymenoptera; Ichneumonidae. The record is from RNAcentral.
AAACAUGUCUUUUAGAAAAUAAUUUAAAGUYUAAUCUGCUCCAUGAUAAGAAUUAAAUAGCUGCAGUAUAUUAACUGUACAAAGGUAGCAUAAUCAAUAGUUUUUUAAUUGAAAGCUGGAAUGAAUGAUUUGAUAAGGUAAAUAUUGUCUCUAAAGUAAAGAAAUUAUAAUUUUUUUUUUAGUAAAAAUACUAAAUUAAUUUUAAAAGACGAGAAGACCCUAUAGAUUUUUAUAUUUAUUUAUUAGUAAAUUAAAAUUAUGAAUGAUUUUAAAAUAAUUAAAAUAUUAAAUUGGGGUAAUUUUUAAAUUUAAUAAAUUUUAAGAAUUUAAAACAAAAAUUAUUGAAAAAGAUGAUCUUAAAUUUUAGAUAAAAAGAAUAAAAUACCUUAGGGAUAACAGCGUAAUUUUUUUAGAAAGUUCAUAUUAAUAAAGAAGUUUGCGACCUCGAUGUUGAAUUAAGAUAAAAUUUUAAAGUAGAAUUUAAAAAUUUUUGGUCUGUUCGACCAUUAAAAUCUUACAUGAUCUGAGUUCA